AUAUAUAUAUAUAUAUAUAUAUAUAUAUAUUACUAUGUGUACAAUUUGGUGGCUAUACUUUGUAUACGCAAAAAAAACUUAGAUCUGUUGCUGUGUGAAAAAAAAACACCAAUAAAUACACAUUCGCAUUUAAUAUAAGUAUUGUUAACUUUUGAGUUAAAUUAAAAAUGAAAAACGAUGAAUCUUGUGACUUAAAUUUGGUAAAAAAAUAAAAGUAAAAAGGUUGACAAUCUGUGAAUACGCGCAACGGCAAUAUGUUUAUACGCGAGCGACAAAGACAAAAGAUGAGGGGUCAAUGUACGAAAUUCUUCGUGCUCCGCGUCCGUACUUUACAC
Molecule: unclassified non-coding RNA, 335 nt
Filed under: Melitaea cinxia (Glanville fritillary)
Lineage: Eukaryota; Metazoa; Arthropoda; Insecta; Lepidoptera; Nymphalidae
Description: misc RNA ENSMCXG00005007453.1
Source: RNAcentral